This 261-nucleotide ribosomal RNA is filed under the name uncultured archaeon. RNAcentral's name for it is "partial 16S ribosomal RNA". It matches the Rfam family "Archaeal small subunit ribosomal RNA", at positions 748 to 998 of the family's 1478-position model. The record is from RNAcentral.
UAGCCGUAAACGAUACUCGCUAGGUGUCGGCCACGGUGCGACCGUUGUCGGUGCCGUAGGGAAGCCGUGAAGCGAGCCACCUGGGAAGUACGGCCGCAAGGCUGAAACUUAAAGGAAUUGGCGGGGGGAGGCACCACAACGGGUGGGAGCUUGCGGGUUUAAUUUGGAUUCUAACGCCGGGAAAUACUUACCGGGACCGGACAGCAACAUGAAGGCCAGGCUGAAGACUUUGUCCGGAUUAGCUGAGAGGUGGUGCAUGGC